RNAcentral lists this ribosomal RNA (373 nucleotides) under uncultured organism. RNAcentral's name for it is "bacterial SSU rRNA". It matches the Rfam family "Bacterial small subunit ribosomal RNA", at positions 526 to 896 of the family's 1533-position model. The record is from RNAcentral.
CGGGGGGAGCAAGCGUUGUUCGGAUUUACUGGGCGUAAAGGGCGCGUAGGCGGCGCAACAAGUCACUUGUGAAAUCUCCGGGCUUAACCCGGAGCGGCCAAGUGAUACUGUCGUGCUAGAGUGCGGAAGGGGCUACUGGAAUUCUCGGUGUAGCGGUGAAAUGCGUAGAUAUCGAGAGGAACACCUGCGGCGAAGGCGGGUAGCUGGGCCGACACUGACGCUGAUGCGCGAAAGCCAGGGGAGCGAACGGGAUUAGAUACCCCGGUAGUCCUGGCCUUAAACGAUGGAUACUUGGUGUCCGGGGUUACAUAGUCCCCGGGUACCGGCGCUAACGCAUUAAGUAUCCCGCCUGGGGAGUACGGUCGCAAGACUG